UGGUUCCCUGGUGCCCUGGUCCCUGUUCCCAUGGCUGCCGCAUUUAUUAUGCAUGCGCCCCUCCUGUUCCAUGAAGGUUCUGGAUGGAGGUCUCAUGAGGGAUUUGGGCAGAGGCUGAUGAAAACAUAAAAUGGGCCAGUCUCCAGAUUCAAAGGAGAGCUGGAGACAGCAUUCGUAGGUUGACCAGGCAGCUUUGACCAGGACCCCAUCAUGUCACUUUCAUGCAGCAGAGGCAGCGACUACUGGAGAGGGACACGAAGGACUGCACCUGGAUCUUGUUUAAACGCAAGGAGCUGGGUUUUGAAGACGCCACAAGGGACUUUAGGACCCUACGUUACUUAUUGACAUCAAAAGAGGAGAAGAUAAAGCCUCACAAUUCUUCCUCCCACUUCCUCAGGUGGCCAGUGCUGCUUUUAUUGUGGAAUGGGUUUGCCACAAAGCCUCAGGCUGAUAGAUAAGACUCGGGUCUCUGAAAAAUGACAGCUUGACAUCAAACCAACAAAAUCAAUUUCCAAAUUGAUUAAAACCAUCCUCAAAUAAAACUCUGCUGGCUUUCUCGAAUCCCAUUGUAAAAGGUCAUCUGGGAAGUAAGUACCAUAUUUGUUUUAAGUUAGCAGGAGCCUGCAGCGCACUUGAGGCCCUACAGUUUCAGGGCCAGGCUGGGCUGACUGGGCCCACCCACGCCUCUGCCCUCACCACAGCCCCCAGCUCCAGGGUGCCCACCAGAGCCAGGGCAGGAAGCCACCUCCAGGCUGGCCCUUCGUCUUGGCUCUUUGAAAAGCUUUGGGUGAGAUGUGUCUCUUGGAUCAAAUAAACAAUCAACAAUUGGCUGCUAUCAUUAAGGGAGAGGGUUACUGCUGAGGGAGACAUAUCCUGGGGGCAUUUUGUGUGUUUAUGGGGUGAUUUAUGAUUCAUAGAGAUCAAGCGAUAAAAGUACUGAAAUGCCAAGAAAGAAAAUUGGAGAGAAAAAUUGCUACAAAUUUUAUUCUGAUUUUUUUAAGGAGAUUUAUUUUAUUUGCAAGAUUUGUAAUUGAUGCAAAGCCUGUAAAUGCAGGUUCCCCACUGUCAAAGCCUCUCCCUUUCAGACCCUUUGUAAAGGCGUGACCUGCUUCCAGAAACGUGAUAUUUGAAAAAAUGAAAUCUACACAUUGAGAUACAUUAGGAGUGACUGUUCACGUGACAAAAGGGUUUGCCACUUUACAAAAGAUUCAUCCCAGUGUUUCUUAAAGAACUAUACAACUGCGAUGUAUUUUAAAUGCCUUUCAAUUAAAAGAAUUGACUCAUGCUCAA
Molecule: long non-coding RNA, 1290 nt
Organism: Pongo pygmaeus (Bornean orangutan)
Lineage: Eukaryota; Metazoa; Chordata; Mammalia; Primates; Hominidae
Exons: 3
Source: RefSeq, a predicted model, not a curated record